Molecule: ribosomal RNA, 517 nt
Filed under: Vespa basalis
Lineage: Eukaryota; Metazoa; Arthropoda; Insecta; Hymenoptera; Vespidae
Description: partial 16S ribosomal RNA
Rfam family: Bacterial large subunit ribosomal RNA (bases 391-517)
Source: RNAcentral
GGCCUAUUUGAUUAAAAAUAUUAGGUCUACUCUGCCCAUUGAAAAAGAUUAAAAGGCUGCAGUAUUUUGACUGUACUAAGGUAGCAUAAUCAUUUGUUUUUUAAUUGAAAACUGGAAUGAAAGAGUGAAUGAAAUAUAAAUUGUCUCAAUAUAAUUGAUUGAAUUUAAAUUAAAAGUUAAAAUGCUUUUAUAUAUUUAUAAGACGAUAAGACCCUAUAGAAUUUAAUAAAAUUUAUUUUUUAAAAUCAUUAUGUUAAGAAAAGAUCUAAUUAAUAAAUAUAUUUUAUUGGGAGGAUAUUUAAAUUAAAAUAACUUUAAAAUAAUUUAAACAUAAAUAAAUGAGUAAGUAAUUUGAUUAUUAUUAUAAUUAUUAGAAUAAAUUACCUUAGGGAUAACAGCGUAAUAAUUUUGGAGAGUUCAUAUUGAUAAAAUUGUUUGCGACCUCGAUGUUGAAUUAUGAUAAAAUUUAAAUGGAGAGAUUUAAAUUUUUAGUCUGUUCGACUAUUAAAAUCAUACA